This 205-nucleotide ribosomal RNA is filed under the name uncultured bacterium. Its description in RNAcentral is "partial 16S ribosomal RNA". It matches the Rfam family "Bacterial small subunit ribosomal RNA", at positions 1281 to 1500 of the family's 1533-position model. The record is from RNAcentral.
GACGUCCCUAGUUCGGAUUGUAGGCUGAAACUCGCCUCAUGAAGCUGGAAUUGCUAGUAAUCACAGGUCAGCAUACUGUGGUGAAUACGUUCCCGGGCCUUGUACACACCGCCCGUCACACCAUGAGAGUUGAGAAUACCCGAAGCCCAUGUCAAAGUGGUCGAAGGUAGGCUUGAUNAUUGGGGUGAAGUCGUAACAAGGUACC